This 286-nucleotide ribosomal RNA is filed under the name uncultured diatom. Its description in RNAcentral is "partial 18S ribosomal RNA". It matches the Rfam family "Eukaryotic small subunit ribosomal RNA", at positions 598 to 888 of the family's 1831-position model. The record is from RNAcentral. Lineage: Eukaryota; Bacillariophyta.
CAUAUAUUAAAGUUGUUGCAGUUUAAAAGCUCAUAGUUGGAUUUGUGGCAUAUGGUGUGUUCCGGGCACUUGUUGUCUGAGUAACCUGCUGUUGCCAUCCUUGGGUGGAACCUGUGUGGCAUUAGGUUGUCGUGCAGGGGAUGCCCAUCAUUUACUGUGAAAAAAUUAGAGUGUUCAAAGCAGGCUUAUGCCGUUGAAUAUAUUAGCAUGGAAUAAUGAGAUAGGACUUUUUUACUAUUUUGUUGGUUUGCGUAAAGAGGUAAUGAUUAAUAGGGACAGUUGGGGG